UAAUACGAAGGGGGCUAGCGUUGUUCGGAAUCACUGGGCGUAAAGCGCACGUAGGCGGACUUUCAAGUCAGGGGUGAAAUCCCGGGGCUCAACCUCGGAAUUGCCUUUGAUACUGUAGGUCUCGAGUCCGGAAGAGGUGGGUGGGAUUCCUAGUGUAGAGGUGAAAUUCGUAGAUAUUAGGAAGAACACCGGUGGCGAAGGCGGCCCACUGGUCCGGUACUGACGCUGAGGUGCGAAAGCGUGGGGAGCAAACA
This 254-nucleotide ribosomal RNA is filed under the name uncultured prokaryote. Its description in RNAcentral is "partial 16S ribosomal RNA". It matches the Rfam family "Bacterial small subunit ribosomal RNA", at positions 521 to 774 of the family's 1533-position model. The record is from RNAcentral.